RNAcentral lists this long non-coding RNA (480 nucleotides) under Gallus gallus (chicken). Lineage: Eukaryota; Metazoa; Chordata; Aves; Galliformes; Phasianidae. The record is from RNAcentral.
CUGGUUGACCUCCUGAGAAACAUUAACUUCUGCUGUAGGGACUGGGGCUGUGGUAGCAGUAGCAUCUGGGCAGGGGGGGAUCUCGCAGGUUCUGCGUUCGGGGAUCCCGGCGGCGCCUCGGACGUAGCACCAGGGCGCGGCGUCGCCAUUCGGGUUCCGGCAGCUGUCGUGAUCCUCGGCGACUGCCGGGAGCGCGGCGCCGGUCUCGCUCCGCACCGCCAGCCAGUUGAGGCACGGGGCGCCGCCGGAGGCCACCCGCCGGUUCCCGCGGUAGGACGCGCCGUCUCCGCGGAGGCACUCCUCGGCGCCGCGGGCGGCCGCCAGCAGCAGCGAGCCCAGCAGCACCGCGCCCAGCGCUCGCAGCGGGCCCCCGCGCAGCAUCCUCGGCGCGGAGGGCGAGGAGCCGCCGGCCCGGCCCCGCCGCUCGGCUGCGCUGCGCUCAGCGCCGCGCCGAGACCUGCCCCGGCGCUCCCCUCCCCG